GACGAACGCUGGCGGCGUGCUUAACACAUGCAAGUCGAACGGAAAGGCCCUGCUUUUGUGGGGUGCUCGAGUGGCGAACGGGUGAGUAACACGUGAGUAACCUGCCCUUGACUUUGGGAUAACUUCAGGAAACUGGGGCUAAUACCGGAUAGGAGCUCCUGCUGCAUGGUGGGGGUUGGAAAGUUUCGGCGGUUGGGGAUGGACUCGCGGCUUAUCAGCUUGUUGGUGGGGUAGUGGCUUACCAAGGCUUUGACGGGUAGCCGGCCUGAGAGGGUGACCGGCCACAUUGGGACUGAGAUACGGCCCAGACUCCUACGGGAGGCAGCAGUGGGGAAUAUUGCACAAUGGGCGGAAGCCUGAUGCAGCAACGCCGCGGGCGGGAUGACGGCCUUCGGGUUGUAAACCGCUUUCGCCUGUGACGAAGCGUGAGUGACGGUAAUGGGUAAAGAAGCGCCGGCUAACUACGUGC
RNAcentral lists this ribosomal RNA (469 nucleotides) under uncultured bacterium. RNAcentral describes it as "partial 16S ribosomal RNA". It matches the Rfam family "Bacterial small subunit ribosomal RNA", at positions 28 to 508 of the family's 1533-position model. The record is from RNAcentral.